Molecule: ribosomal RNA, 3285 nt
Filed under: Triticum aestivum (bread wheat)
Lineage: Eukaryota; Viridiplantae; Streptophyta; Magnoliopsida; Poales; Poaceae
Description: partial small subunit ribosomal RNA
Source: RNAcentral
AUGGCUGGAUUCGGCGCCAACUGCAGGCUGGGGGCCGUGCUCUUCUUCUCCGCCUGGAUCACGCUCGCGGCCCUCAACAGGCUGGUGCGCCCGGCGCCCAACGGGUGCCAGAUGACCUACAUGUACCCGACCUACAUCCCCAUCCACGCCCCCAACAACGUCUCCUCCGACAGGUACGGCCUGUUCCUGUACCACGAGGGGUGGAAGGAGAUCGACUUCGCCGAGCGCGUCCGCAAGCUCGACGGCGUGCCCGUGCUUUUCAUCCCCGGCAACGGCGGGAGCUACAAGCAGGUUCGCUCAUUUGCUGCAGAAUCUUCUCGAGCAUAUCAAAACGGUCCACUUGAGCCCUCCUUUUAUCGGGAACCAUCUAGUGCAUUUGAACUGGAAGAUUCUUCCCUUCCAUCACAAUAUGGCCGUAUUCUGGAUUGGUUUACUAUUGAUCUUGAAGGAGAACACUCUGCAAUGGAUGGUCGCAUACUUGAGGAGCAUACUGAAUAUGUUGUCUAUGCCAUCCAUAGGAUCCUUGAUCAAUACAAAGAAUCUCAUUUAGCACGAUCGAAGGAUGAUGUUCGUUCUACUGGUAACUUGCCAUCUAGUGUUAUGCUAGUUGGACAUUCAAUGGGUGGUUUUGUGGCUCGAGCAGCUCUUGUCCACCCGGGCUUAAGGAAAUCAGCUGUUGAAACUAUACUGACGCUCUCCAGCCCACACCAGUAUCCUCCUGUUGCUCUGCAGCCGUCCUUGGGUCAUUUUUUCUCCCAUGUCAAUGAAGAAUGGAGAAACGGAUACAAGAAAGGAGUAUCACAUACAAGCAGUCCAAAACUCUCAAAUGUAGUAGUUGUCUCUAUAUCAGGCGGCAUCCAUGAUUAUCAGAUUAGGUCAAGGUUGGCCGCAUUGGAUGGCAUUGUACCUUCUACUCAUGGGUUUAUGGUAGGGAGCUCCAGUGUGAAGAAUGUUUGGCUAUCCAUGGAACAUCAAUCCAUCCUCUGGUGCAAUCAAUUAGCUGUACAGGUCGCGCACACUCUUCUUAGCAUGAUAGAUCCUGUGGAUCGGCAGCCAUUUUUGAGUUCACAAAAAAGAGUCUUUGUGUUUGCGAAAAUGCUCCAGAGUGUAGUUCCCCAGUCUUUGAGUUGGAUGAAUCAUGUUUCAGGUUCUCAAUCUUCAAAUUUUCUUGCGAGUGAUACCAAGGAAGCCGGUGAAUUGCAGCGAAAUGAUACACUUUUUUGCCCACCAUCUGUUCUAUGGACAAGUGAUGGCCUUGAAAAGGACCUGCAUAUCCAGUCAAAUUUGGUUACUGUUUUAGCGAUGGAUGGCAGGAGAAGAUGGUUAGAUAUUAAAAAGCUGGGUUCAAAUGGAAGAGGACACUUUGUUUUUGUCACAAAUCUUGCUCCAUGUUCUGGAGUCAGGAUUCACUUGUGGCCAGAAAAGCAUCGUUCGUCCAUCGAAAAUGAAGUACCUGCUAGCAAAAGGAUAGUUGAAGUUACCUCAAAGAUGGUCCAAAUCCCAGCAGGACCUGCACCAAAACAGGUAGAACCCGGGAGCCAAACUGAGCAACCGCCUCCUUCUGCCUUCCUUUUGCUGAGUCCAGAAGAUAUGAAUGGUUACAAUUUCAUGACUAUAUCGGUGGCAUCGCGGCAGAUGAUUUCAGGCAGACCUCCGCCAGCGGCUUCGAUGGCAGUGGGGCAGUUCUUUAAUCCAGUGGAAGGAACAAGUGCACUUUCUGUUGGCAGGAUUGUCCACUCUAGCUAUUCACCUGAAGAAAUAUUUUUGAAGGAGGAUCACCCAAUGGCUUUAACCUUGUCGUUUUCGGUCAGCCUUGGUCUUCUACCAGUUUUGUUUUCACUGAAAACUACUGGAUGUGGAAUAAAAAAUAUUGGUGACCAAAUUGAAGCUGAUAAAAACAACCUUUGUAAAUUACGGUGCUUCCCACCUGUUGCACUGGCUUGGGAUUCUGUAUCAGGCAUACACAUUAUUCCGAAUAUCUAUUCUGAAACUGUAGUGGUUGAUUCGUCACCUGCUACUUGGGAUUCACACCAAGGGGCAGAGAAAACUACUGUGCUAGUCCUGGCUGACCCGCAUUGCUCAUACAAAGUCAGUCUUCGCGCUUCGCUUGGUGCUGCAACUAGCAGAUUCUUUUUGUUGUACUCAUCCGAGAUUCUUGGUUUCAUGAUUGCCAUAAUACUGUUUGGCCUGAUGCGACAAUCGUCAGCAUGGGAACGUGACUCUUCUGUGCCAUCUAUUUUGUCAGCUAUUGAGACUAAUCUGAAGCCAAAGCCGUUGAUGUUCCUUUGCUUCACGCCAAUACUUCUUUUCCUUGCCUUCUUAUUUUUCACUACACAGCAAAACCCUCGAUUUGGAACCUUCUUGUUUGUUACUGUGGUCUGCUACAUAGUUGCUAAUGGUUUCACCAUUUUGGUAACACUAAGUUCGAAAUUGAUUCUGUAUGUGGCUGCCAUUCUACAUGUCUUCGCCAAAAGACGCUGGCAAUCUUGGGAGGACGGUACUCAUUCUCCAUUUGUUCGCCAGUUCCUCGCUUUCUCGUUCUCAUUUCAAUCUCUCAAGAUUGUGCAGAUGAUCAAGAACAAUACAAAUAUAGCUGUAGCAUUCGCUACAAUUACUCUUGUCUGCUUCGUUCAUCCAGCAAUUGGUCUUGGUCUGUUACUUCUUUCACAUUCCUUCCAUGCCCAUUCAGCCCUCUGCAGUUUCUUAGGAGCUUCGUUUCGUAACAUCGCUCAGAAAAAGGACCUGUAUAAAUCCAAGAUGGAUAAUAAUCCUAUUCUACAAUCCAAAAGUAAACCAGAUGGGCUCGAGCAACUUCUGCCAAUGGAUGACAGCCCAACAUCUGCUAAAAGCUUUACUGACAGCCAGCUAGAAGUGUUUGACUGUCGGCAUGGGAUUAUGAUCCUGCAUCUUCUAGCUACACUCAUGUUUGUGCCUUCACUUAUUGCUUGGAUACAGAGAAUUGGAGUGGGUCAGAGAUUUCCGUGGUUUGUUGAUUCUGCCCUUUGUGUUGGUGUUAUUCUGCAUGGACUUUUGGGAUCACAGCCAACUGCCAGCUUUAUAUCUUUUAAGUUACCCGGAAGGAGAGGGCGCGAAGUUGGAAUGAGCUUUCUCUACCUCAUAGGUGGCUUUUAUUCCUUUAUUAGCUCCAUGGCAUUGGCACCUUACAGAGCGCUGUAUGCGAUGGCCAUCAUUGGUUUCAUCUGUUUUGCUUCCAGAAUUCUUGAGACUAGAGGCAAGGUGAGAGGUGAUAUUAGCUCUAGAAAAAGGCACUGGCAUAGACAUUGA